This 429-nucleotide ribosomal RNA is filed under the name Pseudomonadota bacterium. Its description in RNAcentral is "Proteobacteria bacterium partial 16S ribosomal RNA". It matches the Rfam family "Bacterial small subunit ribosomal RNA", at positions 355 to 776 of the family's 1533-position model. The record is from RNAcentral. Lineage: Bacteria; Pseudomonadati; Pseudomonadota.
UGGGGAAUAUUGGACAAUGGGCGAAAGCCUGAUCCAGCCAUGCCGCGUGUGUUAAGAAGGUCUUCGGAUUGUAAAGCACUUUAAGUUGGGAGGAAGGGCAGUAAGCGAAUACCUUGCUGUUUUGACGUUACCGACAGAAUAAGCACCGGCUAACUCUGUGCCAGCAGCCGCGGUAAUACAGAGGGUGCAAGCGUUAAUCGGAAUUACUGGGCGUAAAGCGCGCGUAGGUGGUUCGUUAAGUUGAAUGUGAAAGCCCCGGGCUCAACCUGGGAACUGCAUCCAAAACUGGCGAGCUAGAGUAGGGCAGAGGGUGGUGGAAUUUCCUGUGUAGCGGUGAAAUGCGUAGAUAUAGGAAGGAACACCAGUGGCGAAGGCGACCACCUGGGCUCAUACUGACACUGAGGUGCGAAAGCGUGGGGAGCAAACAGG